This 460-nucleotide ribosomal RNA is filed under the name uncultured bacterium. RNAcentral describes it as "partial 16S ribosomal RNA". It matches the Rfam family "Bacterial small subunit ribosomal RNA", at positions 338 to 795 of the family's 1533-position model. The record is from RNAcentral.
CCUACGGGAGGCAGCAGUGAGGAAUAUUGGUCAAUGGACGGAAGUCUGAACCAGCCAUGCCGCGUGCAGGAAGACGGCUCUAUGAGUUGUAAACUGCUUUUGUACAAGGGUAAACCUGCAUACGUGUAUUCAGCUGAAAGUACCGUACGAAUAAGGAUCGGCUAACUCCGUGCCAGCAGCCGCGGUAAUACGGAGGAUCCAAGCGUUAUCCGGAUUUAUUGGGUUUAAAGGGUGCGUAGGCGGAUUGAUAAGUUAGAGGUGAAAUGUCCGAGCUUAACUCGGGAACUGCCUCUAAUACUGUUGAUCUAGAGAGUAGAUGCGGUAGGCGGAAUGUAUGGUGUAGCGGUGAAAUGCUUAGAGAUCGUACAGAACACCGAUUGCGAAGGCAGCGUACCAAUCUAUAUCUGACGUUGAGGCACGAAAGCGUGGGGAGCGAACAGGAUUAGAUACCCCAGUAGUC